RNAcentral lists this ribosomal RNA (648 nucleotides) under Scolecobasidium gamsii. RNAcentral describes it as "SSU rRNA". It matches the Rfam family "Eukaryotic small subunit ribosomal RNA", at positions 1163 to 1831 of the family's 1831-position model. The record is from RNAcentral. Lineage: Eukaryota; Fungi; Ascomycota; Dothideomycetes; Venturiales; Sympoventuriaceae.
GGCACCACCAGGAGUGGAGCCUGCGGCUUAAUUUGACUCAACACGGGGAAACUCACCAGGUCCAGAUACACGUAGGAUUGACAGAUUGAGAGCUCUUUCUUGAUUGUGUAGUUGGUGGUGCAUGGCCGUUCUUAGUUGGUGGAGUGAUUUGUCUGCUUAAUUGCGAUAACGAACGAGACCUUCAUCGUUAACUAGCCCGGCUCGCCUUGGCGGGUCGCCGGCUUCUUAGCGAGACUUUUGGCUUAAGCCAAAGGAAGUUGGAGGCAAUAACAGGUCUGUGAUGCCCUUAGAUGUUCUGGGCUGCACGCGCGCUACACUGACAGAGGCAACGAGUUUUUUUUCCUUGGCCGGAAGGUCUGGGUAAUCUUGGUAAACUCUGUCGUGCUGGGGAUAGAACAUUGCAAUUAUUGUUCUUCAACGAGGAAUGCCUAGUAAGCGCGUGUCAUCAGCAUGCGUUGAUUACGUCCCUGCCCUUUGUACACACCGCCCGUCGCUACUACCGAUUGAAUGGCUCAGUGAGGUCUCCGGACUGGCUCAGGGAGGUUGGCAACGACCACCCCGGGCCGGGAAGCUGAUCAAACUUGGUCAUUUAGAGGAAGUAAAAGUCGUAACAAGGUUUCCGUAGGUGAACCUGCGGAAGGAUCAUUA